RNAcentral lists this ribosomal RNA (253 nucleotides) under uncultured bacterium. Its description in RNAcentral is "partial 16S ribosomal RNA". It matches the Rfam family "Bacterial small subunit ribosomal RNA", at positions 524 to 776 of the family's 1533-position model. The record is from RNAcentral.
UACGAAGGGAGCUAGCGUUGUUCGGAAUCACUGGGCGUAAAGCGCACGUAGGCGGAUUUGUAAGUCAGGGGUGAAAUCCCGGGGCUCAACCUCGGAACUGCCUUUGAUACUGCAAAUCUCGAGUCCGGAAGAGGUGAGUGGAAUUCCUAGUGUAGAGGUGAAAUUCGUAGAUAUUAGGAAGAACACCAGUGGCGAAGGCGGCUCACUGGUCCGGUACUGACGCUGAGGUGCGAAAGCGUGGGGAGCAAACAGG